CCGCCCCGCCCCGCCCCGGCCGCGCCGUCGGGCCGUGAGGUCACCGGGCCUGCGACGUCAGCGCCGGCUGGGGGGGUGGGACCCGGCCAACGCUUGUGCAGCCCGCGGGCCGCGCACUCACGUCCGACGCUUUCUUCUCCGUGAGCUCCAACUUCUCCUGCGCCUCCUUCAGGUCCUCCGCGUACUUGUCCAGUUCGUCCUCGGUCCCACUGAGCUUCUUCUGCAGGGGUGACCCUAGCACCGCCACUCCACGAAUGCCACUGCGAGCAGGGAGUCGCGUCCUGCCCCGGUGCGGGGACUCGCUGCGCUUCAGAGCAGUGGGGUCCCCGAUACUCUUGGGGAAGCCAGGAGAGCUUUUGGAAAACGGAAGGCCUCUGGCGCCUGCCAGAAACACCGCACGUUCGAGGACUCUGGCCUUUGGGGCGCAGCCUCCUGGCGGUCCCUGAGAGGCAGAAAGAGGACCCUGGCUCCCCUGCUUCGGACUUGGCUUGGUGAAGAAGGGACCCACCCUUUACACACUUUUGCUGUGUGUUCAUUGUCAUUAAAAUGUCCCCAGAUUUUCA
Molecule: long non-coding RNA, 563 nt
Organism: Heterocephalus glaber (naked mole-rat)
Lineage: Eukaryota; Metazoa; Chordata; Mammalia; Rodentia; Bathyergidae
Source: RefSeq, a predicted model, not a curated record